UGAGGAAUAUUGCGCAAUGGCGGCAACCCUGACGCAGCAACGCCGCGUGAGUGAGGAAGGUUUUCGGACCGUAAAGCUCUGUCGAGCGGGAAGAAAUGCAUGGUGGCUAAUAUCCAUUAUGCUUGACGGUACCGCUAAAGGAAGCACCGGCUAACUCCGUGCCAGCAGCCGCGGUAAUACGGGGGGUGCGAGCGUUGUUAGGAAAUAUUGGGCGUAAAGAGCGUGUAGGCGGCCGAGUAAGUAAGAUGUGAAAUACCUGGGCUUAACCCAGGACGUGCAUUUGAAACUAAUCGACUCGAGUAGGGGGGAGGAAAGUGGAGUUCCUGGUGUAGGGGUAAAAUACGUAGAUAUCAGGAGAAACGCCGGUGGCGAGGGCGACUUUCUGGCCCUAUACUGACGCUGAGACGCGAGAGCGUGGGUAGCAAACAG
This 429-nucleotide ribosomal RNA is filed under the name uncultured bacterium. Its description in RNAcentral is "bacterial SSU rRNA". It matches the Rfam family "Bacterial small subunit ribosomal RNA", at positions 355 to 775 of the family's 1533-position model. The record is from RNAcentral.